GCGCUAAUGGUGAAAUGGUAUCACGCGGGCCUGUGGAGCUUGCGUCCCGAGUUCGAUUCUCGGUUAGCGCC
Molecule: transfer RNA, 71 nt
Filed under: Microcaldota archaeon
Lineage: Archaea; Nanobdellati; Microcaldota
Description: tRNA-His
Rfam family: tRNA
About the family: Transfer RNA (tRNA) molecules are approximately 80 nucleotides in length. Their secondary structure includes four short double-helical elements and three loops (D, anti-codon, and T loops). Further hydrogen bonds mediate the characteristic L-shaped molecular structure. tRNAs have two regions of fundamental functional importance: the anti-codon, which is responsible for specific mRNA codon recognition, and the 3' end, to which the tRNAs corresponding amino acid is attached (by aminoacyl-tRNA synthetases). tRNAs cope with the degeneracy of the genetic code in two manners: having more than one tRNA (with a specific anti-codon) for a particular amino acid; and 'wobble' base-pairing, i.e. permitting non-standard base-pairing at the 3rd anti-codon position.
Source: RNAcentral